This is a long non-coding RNA of Macrobrachium nipponense, 357 nucleotides long. RefSeq lists it as uncharacterized. Lineage: Eukaryota; Metazoa; Arthropoda; Malacostraca; Decapoda; Palaemonidae. The transcript has 2 exons. The record is from RefSeq and is a predicted model, not a curated record.
UCAACACUACCACUUCACCUCUCGCUCCUUCAAGAGGAUUUUUUAAAUAUUGUAAAUUUUCGCAACAACCAAGAUAUGAAAUAAUAACUUCUCAUCCUCGGAGUGCUCCUGUGAUAGCUCGGCUCAUCUAUCUACACCAUCUACGCCUCUAGGCUACAGCCAUGAACUAUUCAAUACUGCAGAGAGCUUCAACUGCCACUCUUUGGUGUUCUUGUUGUCGGUGAAUCUGUCAGUGAACCAGGAGAACUACGUACUGCCCAUCUGCAUACCCAGGACCAACCAUUUGUAAUUCAAUCAAGUCUAUAUUGUAAUUCGUAUUAUUAUUAAUGAUAAUAGCAGAAUAUAUGGUUAAUGUUA